This 887-nucleotide ribosomal RNA is filed under the name uncultured bacterium. RNAcentral's name for it is "bacterial SSU rRNA". It matches the Rfam family "Bacterial small subunit ribosomal RNA", at positions 60 to 914 of the family's 1533-position model. The record is from RNAcentral.
AGUCGAGCGAGCAAGUUAAAGGAAUACUUCGGUAGGAAUUUAAUAGCGCGAGCGGCGGAUGGGUGAGUAACACGUGGGCAACCUGCCCUUUAGCUUGGGAUACCACUUGGAAACAGGUGCUAAUACCAAAUAAGAAGUAAGAGCGCAUGCUCAAGCUAUGAAAGGCGGCUUUCGAGCUGUCACUAAAGGAUGGGCCCGCGGUGCAUUAGCUAGUUGGUAAGGCAACGGCUUACCAAGGCAAUGAUGCAUAGCCGAGUUGAGAGACUGAUCGGCCACAUUGGGACUGAGACACGGCCCAAACUCCUACGGGAGGCAGCAGUAGGGAAUCUUCCACAAUGGACGCAAGUCUGAUGGAGCAACGCCGCGUGAGUGAAGAAGGUUUUCGGAUCGUAAAGCUCUGUUGUUGGUGAAGAAGGACAUGGAUAGUAACUGAUCUAUGUUUGACGGUAAUCAACCAGAAAGUCACGGCUAACUACGUGCCAGCAGCCGCGGUAAUACGUAGGUGGCAAGCGUUGUCCGGAUUUAUUGGGCGUAAAGCGAACGCAGGCGGGAGAACAAGUCAGCUGUGAAAGCCCUCGGCUUAACCGAGGAACGGCAACUGAAACUGUUUUUCUUGAGUGCAGAAGAGGAGAGUGGAACUCCAUGUGUAGCGGUGAAAUGCGUAGAUAUAUGGAAGAACACCAGUGGCGAAGGCGGCUCUCUGGUCUGUAACUGACGCUGAGGUUCGAAAGCAUGGGUAGCGAACAGGAUUAGAUACCCUGGUAGUCCAUGCCGUAAACGAUGAGUGCUAAGUGUUGGGAGGUUUCCGCCUCUCAGUGCUGCAGCUAACGCAUUAAGCACUCCGCCUGGGGAGUACGACCGCAAGGUUAAAACUCAAAGGAAUUGAC